RNAcentral lists this non-coding RNA (164 nucleotides) under chicken gut metagenome. RNAcentral's name for it is "RT-14 RNA". It matches the Rfam family "RT-14 RNA". Rfam says of the family: Cloacimonetes, Firmicutes, Proteobacteria. The record is from RNAcentral.
CUCUAAUACUAUUUCAGAUUAUAUAUUUUAAGGAAUAUAUACAGUAAAGUAUUAGUAAUAAAGAGAUUUAUUCCUUCCUUAAAACAAAACUAAACAUGCAUAAAGAAAAGGUAAAAAUGGAUCAAAAAUAUAUGUAUUAGUAAGAAAAUAUUUUGAAUAUACGU